CCUACGGGGGGCAGCAGUGGGGAAUCUUCCGCAAUGGGCGAAAGCCUGACGGAGCAACGCCGCGUGAUCGAAUGAAGGCCUUCGGGUUGUAAAGAUCUGUUGUCAGGGACGAAUAAGCAAUGCAAAUAGUUUUGUGUAUGACGGUACCUGUUUAGAAAGCACCGGCUAAAUACGUGCCAGCAGCCGCGGUAAUACAGAGGGAGCAAGCGUUGUCCGGAUUUACUGGGCGUAAAGGGCGCGUAGGUGGGCGCUGACGUCAGGUGUGAAAAGUCCGGGCUCAACCUGGAGACUGCACUUGAAACUGGGGGUCUUGAGGGCAGGAGAGGAAAGUGGAAUU
Molecule: ribosomal RNA, 337 nt
Filed under: uncultured bacterium
Lineage: Bacteria
Description: partial 16S ribosomal RNA
Rfam family: Bacterial small subunit ribosomal RNA
Source: RNAcentral